Dipodomys spectabilis (banner-tailed kangaroo rat) is the source of this 878-nucleotide long non-coding RNA. RefSeq lists it as uncharacterized. The transcript has 8 exons. The record is from RefSeq and is a predicted model, not a curated record. NCBI's taxonomy places the organism in Eukaryota, Metazoa, Chordata, Mammalia, Rodentia, Heteromyidae.
AAAAAGGCUGCGGCUUUUUUCUGGCUUCAGCGCCGCGGCUGGAGUUCUGGCAUGUUUCCUGGAUGUGGAUCCCUGCCUUUACUGCCUGCUGCCGCUACCCAAGACAACUGGCUCUGUGCAGCGGGGUCUCUCUCCACAGUCUCGGCAUUUCUGCAACAGUGGAUUCAGCCAGGAGGCACCACUGGAAUGUUCAUCAUGAACCUCUUUGUGUCUCCCUCCUGUGAUUUAAGCUCAAGAAUAUACUCUAUAGUUCCAACCAUGAUUCCAAUCCUUACCCGCUGUUAAGAGAAAGGGAUAUUGAAGUCGAAGUCGGCCAGGAUUAUAGGCUUCUGACUCAGAAAGUUCACCAGUGCUCCAGGAUGAUUCACUGUUGCCAUGGAUGUCCUUGUAAAGCAGCUCGGAAACCUUGUGCUGUGUAUCAAACUUUCAGCCUUGUGGAUAGUGGAUGAGCACUCUACCAUUCAGCCUUAUCUCUGGCUCUGUGAAGACACCAAAUCUGUCAGAUCUUUGUGAGAGAGUACACAGCAGAAGAGGAGGGGAAUCUUCCCAGUGAUUAAGGAUUUGGAGGAAUCAGUCUUUCUACUGACAUCUUGAAAUGUGAGCUGGACAAAGGAAAUGGUAUCCCACUCAGUCAGGGGCUGCUUUAUUCUCACUUCAUAGGAAUCAGGAGACUUCAUGAGAAAAUUAUAAAGAAAUGAAGCAGGAAGUAUGACUACAGUUGUUUGAUCUCAGUUUCACAAAACAUCAUUCAACAAUGCAAUCAGUCUCUGGAGAUGCACCCCAGACCACAGCACAGAAUUUAGACAUUUGAGAUCAAGUUUGAAGAAAGUGAAGCUCAGUGAACUACUGGUGAAGUUUCAUCAAUCUUUAUUCCUCUG